Malurus melanocephalus (red-backed fairy wren) is the source of this 289-nucleotide long non-coding RNA. RefSeq lists it as uncharacterized. The record is from RefSeq and is a predicted model, not a curated record. NCBI's taxonomy places the organism in Eukaryota, Metazoa, Chordata, Aves, Passeriformes, Maluridae. The transcript is spliced from 3 exons.
CCAGAGCGAGCUCUCCUCCAGCCUGGAUGAGUCCGAGGAUUCUGACCUCCCCUACCCUCCGCCCCAGCGGGAGCCCAACRUUUACAUGGUGCCACAGGGAAUCAAACCCGUCCUGCAGCGCACGGCCAUCGAGAUCCUGGCCUGGGGGCUGAGGAACCUCAAGAGCUUCCAGCUGGCCAGUGUGACCUCACCCAGUCUGCUGGUGGAGUGUGGCGGACAGCGCGUCCACUCUGGUGUCAUCAAGAACGUCCGCAAGAACCCCAACUUCGACGUCUGCGUGCUCUUCAUG